RNAcentral lists this ribosomal RNA (334 nucleotides) under Hastula solida. RNAcentral's name for it is "partial 12S ribosomal RNA". Lineage: Eukaryota; Metazoa; Mollusca; Gastropoda; Neogastropoda; Terebridae. The record is from RNAcentral.
UCUUGAAGGUAAAUUGACCUGAGUACUAUGAACGAACAAAGAUUUAAAACUCAAAGGACUUGGCGGUGUCUUAGACCGUUUAGGGGAACCUGUCUCGUAAUCGAUAGUCCACGUUAUACCUGACCUUUUUUUGUUAUCAGUUUGUAUACCGUUGUCGUCAGGUAACUUUUUAGAAAAGGGAAGUUAGCAAGUAGAAAGAUUAUUUAGUACGUCAAAUCAAGGUGCAGCUAAUAGAAAGGGGAGGAUGGGUUACAGUUAUUAUUUAUAAUUUUACGGAAGGAGGACUUAAAAGUAAAUUGAAUAAAAGUAAUUUGAAUUAGGCUCUGAGACGUGU